GCCAGCAGCCGCGGUAAUACGUAGGGGGCAAGCGUUGUCCGGAAUUAUUGGGCGUAAAGCGCGCGCAGGCGGUCCUUUAAGUCUGAUGUGAAAGCCCACGGCUUAACCGUGGAGGGUCAUUGGAAACUGGAGGACUUGAGUACAGAAGAGGAGAGUGGAAUUCCACGUGUAGCGGUGAAAUGCGUAGAGAUGUGGAGGAACACCAGUGGCGAAGGCGACUCUCUGGUCUGUAACUGACGCUGAGGCGCGAAAGCGUGGGGAGCGAACAGGAUUAGAUACCCCGGUAGUCCACGCCGUAAACGAUGAGUGCUAGGUGUUAGGGGGUUUCCGCCCCUUAGUGCUGAAGUUAACGCAUUAAGCACUCCGCCUGGGGAGUACGGCCGCAAGGCUGAAACUCAAAAGAAUUGACGGGGGCCCGCACAAGCGGUGGAGCAUGUGGUUUAAUUCGAAGCAACGCGAAGAACCUUACCAGGUCUUGACAUCCUCUGACAACUCUAGAGAUAGAGCUUUCCCUUCGGGGACAGAGUGACAGGUGGUGCAUGGUUGUCGUCAGCUCGUGUCGUGAGAUGUUGGGUUAAGUCCCGCAACGAGCGCAACCCU
Molecule: ribosomal RNA, 600 nt
Filed under: uncultured Ornithinibacillus sp.
Lineage: Bacteria; Bacillati; Bacillota; Bacilli; Caryophanales; Bacillaceae
Description: bacterial SSU rRNA
Rfam family: Bacterial small subunit ribosomal RNA
Source: RNAcentral